GACAUGCUAGUGGUAAUGAAGCGAAAGCUAAGUGACCCGCAAGGGAGCUAGCACAGGUGCUGCAUGGCUGUCGUCAGCUCGUGUCGUGAGAUGUUCGGUUAAGUCCGCUAACGAGCGCAACCCUCGCUGUGUGUUACAAGUGUCACACAGGACCGCCGGUCUUAAGCCGGAGGAAGGUGGGGAUGACGUCAAGUCAGCAUGGCCUUUAUGUCCAGGGCUACACACACGCUACAAUGGUCAGCACAAUAGGUAGCCAAGCCGCGAGGUGGAGCCAAUCCUCAAAGCUGGCCUCAGUUCAGAUCGCAGGCUGCAACCCGCCUGCGUGAAGCCGGAGUUGCUAGUAACCGCAGGUCAGCUAUACUGCGGUGAAUACGUUCCCGGGGCUU
This 386-nucleotide ribosomal RNA is filed under the name uncultured Fastidiosipila sp. RNAcentral describes it as "bacterial SSU rRNA". It matches the Rfam family "Bacterial small subunit ribosomal RNA", at positions 983 to 1382 of the family's 1533-position model. Lineage: Bacteria; Bacillati; Bacillota; Clostridia; Eubacteriales; Oscillospiraceae. The record is from RNAcentral.